RNAcentral lists this non-coding RNA (24 nucleotides) under Arabidopsis thaliana (thale cress). Lineage: Eukaryota; Viridiplantae; Streptophyta; Magnoliopsida; Brassicales; Brassicaceae. The record is from RNAcentral.
AGACUGCAAUGAGUUCACCGGUUC